UACGUAGGGGGCAAGCGUUGUCCGGAUUUAUUGGGCGUAAAGAGCUCGUAGGCGGUUUGGUAAGUCGGGUGUGAAAUCUCCACGCUCAACGUGGAGGGGCCACUCGAUACUGCCAUGACUCGAGUCCGAGAGAGGUGAGUGGAAUUUCCAGUGUAGAGGUGAAAUUCGUAGAUAUUGGAAAGAACACCAGUGGCGAAGGCGGCUCACUGGCUCGGUACUGACGCUGAGGUGCGACAGCGUGGGGAGCAAACAGG
This 254-nucleotide ribosomal RNA is filed under the name uncultured bacterium. RNAcentral's name for it is "partial 16S ribosomal RNA". It matches the Rfam family "Bacterial small subunit ribosomal RNA", at positions 524 to 776 of the family's 1533-position model. The record is from RNAcentral.